RNAcentral lists this ribosomal RNA (496 nucleotides) under uncultured bacterium. RNAcentral's name for it is "partial 16S ribosomal RNA". It matches the Rfam family "Bacterial small subunit ribosomal RNA", at positions 29 to 507 of the family's 1533-position model. The record is from RNAcentral.
AUGAACGCUGGCGGCGUGCCUAAUACAUGCAAGUCGAGCGAACAGACGAGGAGCUUGCUCCUCUGACGUUAGCGGCGGACGGGUGAGUAACACGUGGAUAACCUACCUAUAAGACUGGGAUAACUUCGGGAAACCGGAGCUAAUACCGGAUAAUAUAUUGAACCGCAUGGUUCAAUAGUGAAAGACGGUUUUGCUGUCACUUAUAGAUGGAUCCGCGCCGCAUUAGCUAGUUGGUAAGGUAACGGCUUACCAAGGCGACGAUGCGUAGCCGACCUGAGAGGGUGAUCGGCCACACUGGAACUGAGACACGGUCCAGACUCCUACGGGAGGCAGCAGUAGGGAAUCUUCCGCAAUGGGCGAAAGCCUGACGGAGCAAUGCCGCGUGAGUGGUGAAGGUCUUCGGAUCGUAAAACUCUGUUAUUAGGGAAGAACAAAUGUGUAAGUAACUAUGCACGUCUUGACGGUACCUAAUCAGAAAGCCACGGCUAACUACGUG